Long non-coding RNA from Hordeum vulgare subsp. vulgare (domesticated barley), 1887 nucleotides. RefSeq lists it as uncharacterized. NCBI's taxonomy places the organism in Eukaryota, Viridiplantae, Streptophyta, Magnoliopsida, Poales, Poaceae. The transcript has 2 exons. The record is from RefSeq and is a predicted model, not a curated record.
AGUUAAUUGAAACCUCUUCCAAAAUAGUGGACUCAUCACUAAAUAAAGUCAUGACCUCUCGAAAUCCACUUUCAUGAUUAUUACAAUAAGAUUCAACACCCUCAAAAUAGUGGGUCAUUAGUACCUAGAAUUGACACUCUUCCAAAUCCACUUUCAUUAAUAUAAUCAUCAUAAAUACUCCCUCCGCCGGUCAAAAAAAAAUACUCCCUCCGUCCCGAAAUUCAUGUUGCACACAUAGUGUAAUGUAAUUUUUCCAAAAAACCUUGUAUCCUCUAAUCUUUUACAAACAAGUCAUUCCGUAUUCCUCUGCCCAGCCCAGCUUCCUCGCAUCGGUCUAAGGCCGUCGCCGACCAAUUCGCCACUUGCUCCACCAAAGGCCUGGUCCUCCGCCACUCGGUACCUGCUCCUCCACCUCCAGUACAUGCACCGUCGCUGCCCAGUAUGUGUGCCUCCGUGAUCCACUCCUGCCGCCACCGCCAAGGACCUACGCCGCCAAGAUCCGGUCGAUCUCGUCAUCAUCAAACUCCCGCGCAUGCCUGGACGUCAAGCUAGUCCUCCUCCUUCUCCCGUGUCGCCAGGCUCGUUCUACUGCUCCCCUAGUGAUCAAGGCGAUGCUCCUCCUCCACGCCCAACACCUCACUUCUCACCCAGCAGCAGAUCCUCUACUUCGCACCUAUAGAUCAAGUGGAGACUAGUCAAUCUGAGUAUGAGCAACAGGUAAAUUUAUCAAUACACAGGAGUAUCAUUUGUAGCAGUAGUAUCUGUAGGAGCAGUAUCUUCUGUAGUAGCAAUUGAUCAGUCUCAACAGUAAUCUAUAGUAAUAUCAAAGAUCAAACUUGCCACGCGCCUCUCCUCUUCGGGUACAACAUUUUUUUGAUGUUUUAAAACAUGAGCAAACUGAACAUCAUAACAUGUUUCAGUUAGAAUGACCAAUACUGUGAAAUUUCAGAAACUGAAUUAGAAACGUGUUUUCCAAGAUGUGCGUAUGCACAGUAUUGUAAAAGUACAAUAGAAUAUGAUUUGUACUUGAAAUUAGGAUGAACAGUAAACUAGUAAUGAAAGUAAACUAUAAUUUGUUAUAAAGAUUUUCCUACUAAAAAUAACGGGAUGGAUAGAAAAGGGUGAAAAGAUAACUGAAUGCUAGGCUAAAAUGGACAGUAAACUGAUAAUGACUAUUGCCAACAAGAGUAGGAAAAUGUGAGCUUCUAAAAUUUGUUACAUAAAUUUUCCUAGUGAAAAGAUAACUGAUUUUCGUGUACUGAAAAUUUAUAGUGCCGAGUUCAGGAAAGUUUACUCAAUUUUGUGGAGCACUCAAAGUGCUUUGAACUAAUAAAUCAUUAAAGUUCAAAGCCUAGAGAAUCAUCAAAGUUCAGCAAUAAGCAUCAAUCCAAAAUCAUCUAUAUGCAUUCAAAAAAUAAAAAUUCAACAAAUUUGGUGUCAAGCUUAUUUCUAUCAAAAUUUAAAUUGAAAAAUAUCAAGGUUUCCAUUGAAUGAACAGAGUUUGGGCACUGAAUUUGUAAGCCAUGGUAUAAUGAGCUUGGGCUUACAAAUUUUCAGUAGUUUUGACACUUGCUUGCAAAUUCAGUAGUUUUUUCCUAUUCCUAAUGUUUCCUGAUUUUUAAACUUGCUUGCAAUAAGCUUGCAGUACACUUUUAAAUUCAGAUCAGAAGCCAAGAUGUAAAACUGAAUUUUAACUAAACUUUUACUCCAAGAAUAGGAGUAUCAUGCAUGCUUAACUAGAUUUUUAACAUAAUCGCUCUCUUGGUUUAGGAGUACUUAAUUUCAAUCUCUCUCUUAGCCUAGGAGUACUGAAUUUUUGUAGUAGAUUUGCACUGAUUUUCCAAGCACAACCAGUAUCCAUUCAUUUACACUUCAUUCAAUCAUAAA